ACUUUAGAGACCAACUAAGUUUGUUCUGGGUAUAAGUUUCGUGUGCAUGCACACUUCUUCAGAUACACGCGCAUGAAAGCUUAUACUCAGAACAAACUUAGUUGGUCUCUAAGGU
This 115-nucleotide microRNA precursor is filed under the name Podarcis lilfordi (Lilford's wall lizard). Lineage: Eukaryota; Metazoa; Chordata; Lepidosauria; Squamata; Lacertidae. The record is from RNAcentral.